UCCUCCGUGGCGCAAUUGGCUAGCGCGUCUGACUGUUACGAUGAUCUUUGAUCCAUCGCAGCACAUCAGGAGGUUGACAGUUCAAGCCUGUCCGGGGGAG
Non-coding RNA from Hypoxylon crocopeplum, 100 nucleotides. The record is from the annotation of a GenBank genome assembly. Lineage: Eukaryota; Fungi; Ascomycota; Sordariomycetes; Xylariales; Hypoxylaceae.